This 473-nucleotide ribosomal RNA is filed under the name uncultured bacterium. RNAcentral describes it as "bacterial SSU rRNA". It matches the Rfam family "Bacterial small subunit ribosomal RNA", at positions 355 to 825 of the family's 1533-position model. The record is from RNAcentral.
UGGGGAAUAUUGCGCAAUGGGCGAAAGCCUGACGCAGCAACGCCGCGUGAGUGAUGAAGGCCUUCGGGUCGUAAAGCUCUGUCGGAGGGAACGAAUGCUCCUGAAGUUAACAGCCUCAGGAGGUGACGGUACCCUCAAAGGAAGCACCGGCUAACUCUGUGCCAGCAGCCGCGGUAAUACAGAGGGUGCAAGCGUUGUUCGGAUUUACUGGGCGUAAAGGGCGCGUAGGCGGUGUGUCAAGUCAGUUGUGAAAUCUCCGAGCUUAACUCGGAACGGUCAACUGAUACUGUCACACUAGAGUACAGAAGGGGCAAUCGGAAUUCUUGGUGUAGCGGUGAAAUGCGUAGAUAUCAAGAGGAACACCUGAGGCGAAGGCGGGUUGCUGGGCUGAUACUGACGCUGAGGCGCGAAAGCUAGGGUAGCAAACGGGAUUAGAUACCCACGUAGUCCCUGAGCGGGCUGGCAAGGCGCAU